GACAGAUGGCUUUGCCAUUUGAAUAAAUGAAAAAAUAAUCUCGGAAGAAAAUUAUAAUUUUUCUUAUCCACCAUAGAAGAAGAGCUCUUCUUCUACGCUGGCGUUUAACAGCAGCCAGCAUCCUUGUUGAUGCAUUCCUGCCACCUGCUGCAUCAGUCCGUUAUAGCAGCACUAAAUCCUCUCGAGUACAGUGACAGAUUUAUUUUUUUUUUUUCAUGCGAUCGACUGGAACUCAGCCCGUGAUUGGUUGGGCACGCCAGUUGUAUACAAACCGCUCCACACUGUUGUUGAUAAAUUUUGAACUUCUUGAAAUUAGCACCAUGUUCAGAGAUAAGCCUCGUUAGCCGAAUAAUCUGCCUCUAAGAGCAUCUCAGAGCCACUAUUCUCCCACGUUUGUUGAAUAACUGGACUCAUAACAAAAACAUGAUACGUGGCUCAUUAUUCGUCCUUCAUUAUUCGUUGGGUCCAGGACUAUACAUACAGUUGUGGUUGCAAAGCCUCGGUCUCACCGAAUAAUAAGUCAUGAAUAAUGAACCACGCAUGGGUUUGUCAGUGAUUAUUUGAAGAAUAGUCCACGUUUUAAGCCGUCAUGUAUCCACUACUAAGCCACAACUGACCUGUCAUUUGAGUGCCGUCCAGCCUUGAGUGGCUCGUGUCACCGCAUAUGAUCCACGUCAAGCCACAUAUGGUCCAUGUAGCACCAUGAUACUGCAAUGUUGGUGCACAUUUAGACAUGGGUUUGGUCCAUACAUCCGGCCCUCCCACACCUGGUCUCUUUAAAGUGUGGGUUCAAUUCACAGCAUCCAUUCAAGAUGUCACAUUUUUU
This is a long non-coding RNA of Thalassophryne amazonica, 826 nucleotides long. RefSeq lists it as uncharacterized. The transcript is spliced from 2 exons. Lineage: Eukaryota; Metazoa; Chordata; Actinopteri; Batrachoidiformes; Batrachoididae. The record is from RefSeq and is a predicted model, not a curated record.